UAUGUGAUCGUCUCUCGCAUAUCAAUAAGCGGAGGAAAAGAAACUAACAAGGAUUCCCCUAGUAACGGCGAGUGAAGCGGGAAGAGCUCAAAUUUGAAAUCUUAAAGGGUUUCCCUUUACGAAUUGUAGUUUAAAGAAGUGUUUUCUGUUGAGGUUUUGGUAAAAGUUCUUUGGAAUAGGACAUCAUAGAGGGUGAGAAUCCCGUAUUUGACCUUUACUUUCAACUUUGUGAUACACUUUCAAAGAGUCGGAUUGUUUGGGAAUGCAGUCCAAAAUGGGUGGUAAAUUUCAUCUAAAGCUAAAUAUUGGCGAGAGACCGAUAGCGAACAAGUACCGUGAGGGAAAGAUGAAAAGAAGCUUUGAAAAGAGAGUUAAACAGUACGUGAAAUUGUCAAAAGGGAAGCGUUUGACACCAGUGUUGUUUUUCUGAAAAUCAAUUAAAGAACUGUUUAUGCUAAGUUGUUUAGACUUUAUCAGCUAACUGUUUAGUUUUGAGCUUUUCUUUAAUGCACUUUUCAGUUAACAAGUCAACAUCAAUUUCUUUUGCUGUAAAAAAGCUUGAGGAAGGUGGCUUGAGAUUCGUCUUAAGUGUUUAUAGCCUCUUGCCUAUGCAGUCGGAGAGAUUGAGGUCUGCAGCGUAGAUCCUUCGGGGCUAAAUGCAUUUGUGCUAAGUUAUAACAUUUCAUAGACAACUUGUUGACUAUGAUUUGUCUUGUAGCUUACUCGCUUAUGUUAUUUUACCUACGCUUAGGAUGUUGAGUAGCGACAUACGCAC
RNAcentral lists this ribosomal RNA (775 nucleotides) under uncultured Neocallimastigales. RNAcentral's name for it is "partial large subunit ribosomal RNA". It matches the Rfam family "Eukaryotic large subunit ribosomal RNA", at positions 24 to 649 of the family's 3401-position model. Lineage: Eukaryota; Fungi; Neocallimastigomycota; Neocallimastigomycetes; Neocallimastigales. The record is from RNAcentral.